This 424-nucleotide ribosomal RNA is filed under the name uncultured Clostridium sp. RNAcentral's name for it is "bacterial SSU rRNA". It matches the Rfam family "Bacterial small subunit ribosomal RNA", at positions 355 to 794 of the family's 1533-position model. Lineage: Bacteria; Bacillati; Bacillota; Clostridia; Eubacteriales; Clostridiaceae. The record is from RNAcentral.
UGGGGAAUAUUGGGCAAUGGGCGAAAGCCUGACCCAGCAACGCCGCGUGAAGGAAGAAGGCCUUCGGGUUGUAAACUUCUUUUAAGAGGGACGAAGAAGUGACGGUACCUCUUGAAUAAGCCACGGCUAACUACGUGCCAGCAGCCGCGGUAAUACGUAGGUGGCGAGCGUUAUCCGGAUUUACUGGGUGUAAAGGGCGCGUAGGCGGGAAUGCAAGUCAGAUGUGAAAUCCAAGGGCUCAACCCUUGAACUGCAUUUGAAACUGUAUUUCUUGAGUGUCGGAGAGGUUGACGGAAUUCCUAGUGUAGCGGUGAAAUGCGUAGAUAUUAGGAGGAACACCAGUGGCGAAGGCGGUCAACUGGACGAUAACUGACGCUGAGGCGCGAAAGCGUGGGGAGCAAACAGGAUUAGAUACCCUGGUAGU